Molecule: transfer RNA, 74 nt
Filed under: Musa coccinea
Lineage: Eukaryota; Viridiplantae; Streptophyta; Magnoliopsida; Zingiberales; Musaceae
Description: tRNA-His
Source: RNAcentral
UAAAUGUUCCUUUCCAUUAUGAAUAGCGAUUGUAUGGCCAAUCAUUGUGGGUAUAAUGGUAGAUGCCCGAGACC